This 1040-nucleotide long non-coding RNA is filed under the name Canis lupus familiaris (dog). RNAcentral's name for it is "lncRNA (ENSCAFG00845001521.1)". The record is from RNAcentral. Lineage: Eukaryota; Metazoa; Chordata; Mammalia; Carnivora; Canidae.
GCUACAGCCACCCCAGCCUUCAGCCAGCCACCACCCUGAACAGUCAGCAGCCAUCAGCAUUGAGGCAUGACAUCCACCAGCAAAAAGACUAUGACUCACUGAAAGCUGAGUUAUAUAAAGAGUUAGCAUUUUUUAGCAAUUAAGUAUUUUUAAAUUAAGGUUUAUGGAUUGUAUUUUUUAGACAUAAUACUCUUACACACUUAAUAGACCAUAAUGUAGUAUAAACUUUUAUAUGUACUUUUUUAAUUAAAAAAUUCAUUUGACUGGCUUUUUUUGUGACAUUUACUUUAUUGCAGGUGUCUAGAACCAAAUCCACAAUAUCUCGAGGUAUGCAUGUAAUUAGACGUCAGAGUCGCCAUUAGAAUGUGCUGAUGGCAAUCUAGAACAUGAGGAACAUGAACAUCCAGGGUGGGAACUUCCUUAUCUGGAGGAAAUCUGCUACCCAGACAGCAACCCCUUCCCAGAUCCUUGCUGAGUGAAGUGACUAAACUCCAUCUCUCCCACCCAUCUGGUUGGAAGCCGAAAGCCAGAAGCCCCAUGUCCCCAGCAGCAGCAGAUUUUCUCCUGCAGGGCCCGUACUAGUCUAUCAAUGAAUGUCCUCUCCGUUCUUGGAGGUCAGAAGCCAUUUCUUCCAUGGAGCCUUCCCAGAGCCCUCCUGGAGCCCUCCUGACCAUACUAGCUGGUUUGGUGAUGGUAAAAAAAAAGAAGAAGAAGAAGAAGAAGAAGAAGAAGAAGAAGGAGAAGGAGAAGGAGAAGGAGAAGGAGAAGGAGAAGGAGAAGGAGAAGGAGAAGGAGAAGGAGAAGGAGAAGGAGAAGGAGAAGGAGAAGGAGAAGGAGAAGAGAAGAAGAAGAAGAAGAAGAAGAAGAAGAAGAAGAAGAAGAAGAAGAAGAAGAAGAAGAAGAAGAAGAAGAAAGAUAAAGAAAAGUUUGCAAUGCCAAUAUACAGAAUGAAUUUGGCUGAGAGAGCAUUCACUCAACAUAAGCAGAGAAGAAGGAGAGAGAGAAUCUUAAGCAGGCCACUGGUCCAGUGCAGAGCCUGA